UCUUUUCUCGGUGAAACAGGAACAAGAUCGAGGGAGGCUGGAGGCUUGAGGAGAGUGAGAUAGCUGUCCAGGAGAGAGGAAAAGGACAGAGAGAUGGGGACAGUCACCGGGUAGCAAGAAGGGUUGCGGAGUGUCAAGGGAAGGCUGCAGAGUGUGGUCGGCCAGCAGGCUGCUGCCCUCCCUGCUGCCCCUGAGGCUGGGCUUGGUGUUGAGAAAGCAGAGGGCGGGCGGCACUGAGCCAGGCUCCGUGUUUGCCGAGCAGUGACACUGUGGGGACAGCUCCCCUUCCAUUUCUGCAGAGUGGGUGGGACCUCCUGCUGCAGAGUGGGAGUGGCCGGUGCAGAAGUGGGAGGGGAGCUCGAGUACAGCCAGACCUCCAGAACAUUCUCACCAGAACCCAGGUGAGAAACCACAGUGUACUUUCCUUCAAGGCUGCCCUUCACUUUAAUCUGAUCUCAUGCAACACGUGGAAGGAGGGGAGGGGCAGGUGGGGGGUGGGCGUGGACAUCGACGGCCCCUGUCCUGGACAGUGCCCACCGACACUGUCUGUCCCAGACCUGAUCCCCCGACCGGGAACUACUGUCUGAGCAGAGACUCUGCACACACACUCCUCACCUUGAAGGCAGAGUUUUGUCACCAUCUCUUUCGUGCUUAUGGCGCAAGUGGCUACCGCUGCCCAACAGAUGGAGUUCAUGGACGUCCGGGUCCUGGAGAAACGUAUGUGCUGGCUGUGACAGACAGGCAGUGGGAAAAAACCAGGCCCAAGAGCUUUGAAGACCAAGUUUCUGUCUGUGCUGUGGGCUGCUCCUGACAGGAGCUGACAUCUGAGCUAUGCACCAGGCACUGGCAUUUCCUUCUCCCUUCCACCCGUGUCAUCCUGUGAUGGGUCCAGGGAAGACCCUUCUCUCUUCAAGACUACCCUUGAUGUAAAUUUUAGCCAGGUGUCACCUGAAGCGGAAGGAUGAGGGUCGGUAUGAGCAUACACAGACGGCUGAGGCUACAAGUUCGAGAUGUCCACUGGGGCCGCAGUUUGGAAAGUACGUGCUGACAUGGCAGCUGAGAACCAAAACCCCUUCUGAGCCUGUGGUCAAACCCUCCUAAUAAGAAGAGAAACCGAGAGUCUCAGGCCGCGUGCUGGGAGAGCCGCACGGUCGGGCAAGGGGCUGGGGGUGGGGGAGGCGCCAGGAAAACUCUGAAAAUUCUGCACCCUGUUUUGCUUUCACUCACCUAGAUUUAGAAGAAUCCUCUGGCAAAAUGAAACUGAACUCUUACUUCCCCACUGAUGGUCUCCCGGUGACGGCAUAGACACUCUUGUCCUUGGUGAUAGAUCUGGAUGCUUUGGGUGUCGGCUUUGUCAAGGUUUAAUUUAUGUACAAUAAAAUCCCCCAAUUUGAAGUGUACCAUUUAAUGAGUUUUGACAAAUGUGUACAGUCCUGCAGCCACCACGAUCAUGACAUAAACCAUUUCCAUCGUCCCAACAGUUCCCUCAUCUCUCUCUGGGUAAUCUCCUCCUUCCACCCCCAGCUCCCGGCAACCCCCGAGCUGCUUUCCAGCACUGUGGUUUGGCUUUUUUUUUUUAUGAAUUGUAUGUGCGUAGAAUCUUACAGCAUGUGGUCCUUUAUGUCUGGCUUUUGAAACUUAAUGGAGUGCUUUUACGAGUCCUCCACACUGUUGUGUUUCAGUUGCCUGUUCGGUGUGGAGACAUGACAAUUUGUUUGACCAUUCACCAGUUCCUGGAUGUCUGGGUUGUUUCCAGUGUUUGGAGACACCGAAUAAAGCUGCUAUAAACAUUCAUUUACAGGUAUUAACGUGGACAUAUGUUUUCUAUUUUUGUGGUAAAUACCUAUAAGUGGAAUUACUGGGGCAUAUGGUAAGUUUAUGUUUAACUUUUUAAGGAACUGCCAAACUAUUUUCUGAAGUGGCUGCACCAUUUUGCAUUCCACCAGCAAUGUCUGUGAGUUCCAGUUGCUCUAUAUCCUGGUCAGCACUUGGUAUUGUCAGUCUUAUGAUUUUAACCAUUCUAGUGACCAUAUAGGGGUAUCACUUUGUGGUUUUAAUUUGUAUUUCCCUCGUGACCCAUGGUGUUUUCAUGUGCUUAUUUGCCAUCUGUAUAUCUUCUUUGAUGAAAUGUGUGUUUAGGUCGUUUGACCAUUUUUAAAAACUGAGUUGUUUGUAUCCUUAUUAUUGAGUUGCAAGAGUUCUUUACAUAUUCUGGAUAUAAGUCUUUUGUCAGAUAUAUUUUUUGCAACUAUUUUUUUGUGGCUUGCCUUUUCAUUUUCUUAACACUGUUAUUUGAAGAACAAAAUUUUAAAAAUUUUGAUAAAGUCUAAUUUAUCAAAUAUUUACUUUAUAGUUUG
Equus caballus (horse) is the source of this 2357-nucleotide long non-coding RNA. NCBI's taxonomy places the organism in Eukaryota, Metazoa, Chordata, Mammalia, Perissodactyla, Equidae. The record is from Ensembl.